RNAcentral lists this long non-coding RNA (199 nucleotides) under Elaeis guineensis (African oil palm). Its description in RNAcentral is "long non-coding RNA (EGUI_LNC040842)". Lineage: Eukaryota; Viridiplantae; Streptophyta; Magnoliopsida; Arecales; Arecaceae. The record is from RNAcentral.
AGGUGACUCCGAUUCUUCUUGAAACAGGUCUUCGCUACUGCCGCCGUUGCCCUUACCGCCUCCGGGGAUCUAUCCCACCCUUUUCUCGCUAGGGUUGGGACUUCGGAGACAGAAUGAGGUGAGAUGGGGUGAGAGCUGUUACAUGCACUGGAGAACGCGACUGAGAAGGACAGAGACGGGAAGAGGAGUUUGCAGCUCG